Molecule: ribosomal RNA, 243 nt
Filed under: Bacillus atrophaeus
Lineage: Bacteria; Bacillati; Bacillota; Bacilli; Caryophanales; Bacillaceae
Description: partial 16S ribosomal RNA
Rfam family: Bacterial small subunit ribosomal RNA
Source: RNAcentral
UUAUCGGAGAGUUUGAUCCUGGCUCAGGACGAACGCUGGCGGCGUGCCUAAUACAUGCAAGUCGAGCGGACAGAUGGGAGCUUGCUCCCUGAUGUUAGCGGCGGACGGGUGAGUAACACGUGGGUAACCUGCCUGUAAGACUGGGAUAACUCCGGGAAACCGGGGCUAAUACCGGAUGCUUGUUUGGACCGCAUGGUUCAAACAUAAAAGGUGGCUUCGGCUGCCACUUACAGAUGGACCCGC